UACGUAGGGUGCGAGCGUUAAUCGGAAUUACUGGGCGUAAAGCGUGCGCAGGCGGUUUUGUAAGCCAGAUGUGAAAGCCCCGGGCUUAACCUGGGAAUGGCAUUUGGGACUGCAAGGCUGGAGUGCGGCAGAGGAGACUGGAAUUCCUGGUGUAGCAGUGAAAUGCGUAGAUAUCAGGAGGAAUACCGAUGGCGAAGGCAGGGUCUCU
This 208-nucleotide ribosomal RNA is filed under the name uncultured bacterium. RNAcentral describes it as "partial 16S ribosomal RNA". It matches the Rfam family "Bacterial small subunit ribosomal RNA", at positions 524 to 730 of the family's 1533-position model. The record is from RNAcentral.